RNAcentral lists this ribosomal RNA (486 nucleotides) under uncultured bacterium. RNAcentral describes it as "partial 16S ribosomal RNA". It matches the Rfam family "Bacterial small subunit ribosomal RNA", at positions 30 to 507 of the family's 1533-position model. The record is from RNAcentral.
AUUGAACGCUGGCGGCAUGCCUUACACAUGCAAGUCGAACGGCAGCACGGGUGCUUGCACCUGGUGGCGAGUGGCGAACGGGUGAGUAAUACAUCGGAACAUGUCCUGUAGUGGGGGAUAGCCCGGCGAAAGCCGGAUUAAUACCGCAUACGAUCUACGGAUGAAAGCGGGGGACCUUCGGGCCUCGCGCUAUAGGGGUGGCCGAUGGCUGAUUAGCUAGUUGGUGGGGUAAAGGCCUACCAAGGCGACGAUCAGUAGCUGGUCUGAGAGGACGACCAGCCACACUGGGACUGAGACACGGCCCAGACUCCUACGGGAGGCAGCAGUGGGGAAUUUUGGACAAUGGGCGAAAGCCUGAUCCAGCAAUGCCGCGUGUGUGAAGAAGGCCUUCGGGUUGUAAAGCACUUUUGUCCGGAAAGAAAUCCUUGGCCCUAAUACGGUCGGAGGAUGACGGUACCGGAAGAAUAAGCACCGGCUAACUACGUG